Salmo salar (Atlantic salmon) is the source of this 412-nucleotide long non-coding RNA. RefSeq lists it as uncharacterized. The record is from RefSeq and is a predicted model, not a curated record. Lineage: Eukaryota; Metazoa; Chordata; Actinopteri; Salmoniformes; Salmonidae.
CCAUCGGUUACUGUGCAUUCCGCUGCACGGCAUAUGUCAAUACACUUGUCUAAGGUUCGUUCACCUACGAGUGUCAUUGUCCAUUAUGCCUUCCACAAUACGGUCUCUGAUAAUUCCAUCCAAUAAAUGCUCGUACUCACAGUUUCUUGAUAGGUCGCUGACAAACUGGUUGAAUGUCUCGUCCGGUCUUUGUGUACAGUAGUCCUCAAACUUUGGGAUGUUCGGUUUGAUUUACUCUCACUCUCCGUCCACGAAUGUACGCCUUCUCCAAGAACAACCGCCCCACCACGGUGCCCUUCCCCGACAACAACAACGUGUCUUUCGGCGAGGCCACUCCUAUGAGCAGAGCAGGCAACAGAUGGCACACAGACAUCAGAGUUGGGGACAGAUAUGCAGGGACAGACUGGCAGAG